This 918-nucleotide ribosomal RNA is filed under the name Chorioptes texanus. Its description in RNAcentral is "SSU rRNA". It matches the Rfam family "Eukaryotic small subunit ribosomal RNA", at positions 607 to 1548 of the family's 1831-position model. Lineage: Eukaryota; Metazoa; Arthropoda; Arachnida; Sarcoptiformes; Psoroptidae. The record is from RNAcentral.
AAGUUGUUGUGGUUAAAAGCUCGUAGUUGGAUCUCAGCUUAUUCGCCAUGGUCCACUUGACGGUGGUUACUGAUGGUGAUGGGCAAUUUAUCGGGUUGUCUCAUGGUGUUCUUGAUUGAGCGUCAUGGGCGAUCGAUAUGUUUACUUUGAAAAAAUUAGAGUGCUCAAAGCAGGCAUAUUGGCCUGAAUACUGUUGCAUGGAAUAAUAGAAUAGGACCUUGGUUCUGUUCUGUUGGUCUUCGGAAUCGAGGUAAUGAUUAAGAGGGACGGACGGGGACAUUAGUACUGCGGCGAUAGAGGUGAAAUUCUUGGACCGCCGCAUGACUAACAAAAGCGAAAGCAUUUGUCAAGAACGUUUUCAUUAAUCAAGAACGAAAGUUAGAGGUUCGAAGGCGAUCAGAUACCGCCCUAGUUCUAACCAUAAACGAUGCCAACCAGCAAUCAGCCAGAGUUUAUUGUAUGACUCGGCUGGCGGCUUCCGGGAAACCAAAGUUUUUCGGUUCCAGGGGAAGUAUGGUUGCAAAGCUGAAACUUAAAGGAAUUGACGGAAGGGCACCACCAGGAGUGGAGCCUGCGGCUUAAUUUGACUCAACACGGGGAAACUCACCCGGUCCGGACACUGGAAGGAUUGACAGAUUAAGAGCUCUUUCUUGAUUCAGUGGGUGGUGGUGCAUGGCCGUUCUUAGUUGGUGGAGCGAUUUGUCUGGUUAAUUCCGAUAACGAACGAGACUCUAGCCUACUAAAUAGUGUUGGACACCUUCGGUUGUUGGAACACUUCUUAGAGGGACAAACGGCGUUUCAGCCGUAUGAAAAAGAGCAAUAACAGGUCUGUGAUGCCCUUAGAUGUCCGGGGCCGCACGCGCGCUACACUGAAAAAAUCAGCGUGCAUUACUGUGCCUACUCCGAAAGGAGCGGGAA